AAGAAAGAAUCAAAGCAACACUACAGAAAAUGCAGCUUGGGAAGCUGAGAUACCCAGACGUAAUGCGACUUGACAUAUUGAUGGCUGGCGUUUCCAAAGUAGCUAAUCCAGGAGCGCCUUUGGCUGAUUGGCUAAACUCCCAAGAGUAACGCUAAGGAAGACCGUGGAUGUUCAGCUUCUGCAGUACUGUCAAGAUCUCUCAGAUCCUGAGGAGUUGUUUUGAAUCAAGCCUGGAACCAAGUCCUGUAAAGAGCUCUUCCACGACUGCUCCUUGCCAAACCGGACAUUAUCGCCUGCCGCUUUCCUCGUUACCAUCACAGAACCUCAUAACAUACCCAGAUCCUAGCCUCUCCCUCAGCGCCCAC
This is a long non-coding RNA of Poecilia reticulata (guppy), 365 nucleotides long. RefSeq lists it as uncharacterized. The record is from RefSeq and is a predicted model, not a curated record. Lineage: Eukaryota; Metazoa; Chordata; Actinopteri; Cyprinodontiformes; Poeciliidae.